UGCAAGUCGAGGGGCAGCAUGAUUGAAGCUUGCUUCAAUUGAUGGCGACCGGCGCACGGGUGAGUAACGCGUAUCCAACCUUCCGUACACCCAGGGAUAGCCUUUCGAAAGAAAGAUUAAUACCCGAUGGUAUGAUGAGAUUGCAUGAUAGCAUCAUUAAAGAUUUAUCGGUGUACGAUGGGGAUGCGUUCCAUUAGGUAGUAGGCGGGGUAACGGCCCACCUAGCCGACGAUGGAUAGGGGUUCUGAGAGGAAGGUCCCCCACAUUGGAACUGAGACACGGUCCAAACUCCUACGGGAGGCAGCAGUGAGGAAUAUUGGUCAAUGGACGAGAGUCUGAACCAGCCAAGUAGCGUGAAGGAUGAAGGUCCUACGGAUUGUAAACUUCUUUUAUAAGGGAAUAAAACCUCCCACGUGUGGGAGCUUGUAUGUACCUUAUGAAUAAGCAUCGGCUAACUCCGUGCCAGCAGCCGCGGUAAUACGGAGGAUGCGAGCGUUAUCCGGAUUUAUUGGGUUUAAAGGGAGCGCAGACGGGUCGUUAAGUCAGCUGUGAAAGUUUGGGGCUCAA
This 567-nucleotide ribosomal RNA is filed under the name uncultured bacterium. Its description in RNAcentral is "bacterial SSU rRNA". It matches the Rfam family "Bacterial small subunit ribosomal RNA", at positions 56 to 612 of the family's 1533-position model. The record is from RNAcentral.